This 251-nucleotide ribosomal RNA is filed under the name Aliivibrio finisterrensis. RNAcentral's name for it is "partial 16S ribosomal RNA". It matches the Rfam family "Bacterial small subunit ribosomal RNA", at positions 1293 to 1533 of the family's 1533-position model. The record is from RNAcentral. Lineage: Bacteria; Pseudomonadati; Pseudomonadota; Gammaproteobacteria; Vibrionales; Vibrionaceae.
CCGGAUCGGAGUCUGCAACUCGACUCCGUGAAGUCGGAAUCGCUAGUAAUCGUGAAUCAGAAUGUCACGGUGAAUACGUUCCCGGGCCUUGUACACACCGCCCGUCACACCAUGGGAGUGGGCUGCAAAAGAAGUGGGUAGUUUAACCUUCGGGAGGACGCUCACCACUUUGUGGUUCAUGACUGGGGUGAAGUCGUAACAAGGUAGCCCUAGGGGAACCUGGGGCUGGAUCACCUCCUUAAACGAUAGAU